This 88-nucleotide non-coding RNA is filed under the name Aureimonas ureilytica. Its description in RNAcentral is "Glycine sequence". It matches the Rfam family "Glycine riboswitch aptamer". From Rfam's summary of the family: This family represents the bacterial glycine riboswitch. Glycine riboswitches usually consist of two metabolite-binding aptamers domains with similar structures in tandem. The record is from RNAcentral. Lineage: Bacteria; Pseudomonadati; Pseudomonadota; Alphaproteobacteria; Hyphomicrobiales; Aurantimonadaceae.
UCGCUGUAUGCGGGAGAGACCGGCAUUUGCCGGCGCCGAAGGAGCAACCGCCCCGGAAACUCUCAGGCAAAAGGACCGCGCGGCGCUA